UGCUAUACCCAUAUCACCCUGAACAUGCCCGAUCUCGUUUGAUCUGGGAAGCUAACCAGGGUCGGGCCUGGUUAGUAC
RNAcentral lists this ribosomal RNA (78 nucleotides) under Vulpes vulpes (red fox). The record is from RNAcentral. Lineage: Eukaryota; Metazoa; Chordata; Mammalia; Carnivora; Canidae.